RNAcentral lists this long non-coding RNA (1973 nucleotides) under Homo sapiens (human). Its description in RNAcentral is "HSALNT0308926". Lineage: Eukaryota; Metazoa; Chordata; Mammalia; Primates; Hominidae. The record is from RNAcentral.
GAGCCCAGCUGCAGAGAAUCUAGGCCACUGUGACUUGGUCUUCCCCUCUCUGGGAUAUCACAAAGGCCAUAUGAGGUCAGUGAACCAAUCUACAAGAGAAGGGCUGAGCAGGGGACCUGAGAUGAUUUUCUCCAAUAUUUAGUCAGACUGAUUUUCUGGAUCCAAGUUUCUCAACUUACCAAAUGUGGGCAAAUCAUUAUAUUGCUCCCAGCCUUAAAAAUCUUCAAUAAGUUAAAGAGAGGACUCAGGCUUAAUGGCAAUCCUGUUAUCUUACCAAUGAGGAGACUAAACACCUAGUUGGAGAUCACCUCCUUACUGGCUCAGAGCUUCAGGAAAUAGCUCAAGGAUGUGCAAAUACUAAACAGUAGAGCUGGGAUUUAGAUCCACAUCUACUUAAUUUUAGUGCGUAUGCUCUAACUGCUGCCACAGAAGGGAUGCAGAGGAAGACGGUCAGUUACCCAGAGGGUGAUAUCUUUGACUUAAUGUUCACCAUAAAGACAGCUAUCAACAAAAGACUUGAAUUCUAACUUGUUAUCUAUUGCAGGAAAGUGCCUGCAAUAUGCCAUUGUGACAAGGCACCAUCAAUCAUCAUGUCCCUUUACCAGGAGGGCCCGUGUCAUAAGCCACUAUAUAAAGGGAAUGAUGGGUGGACUGCUUUGGACAAAUGGACCUGCGGUAGGAGAGAGGGACAACAGUAGGAGCAGGCAGAUCUUGCUGUUUCAACCAAAACCUCAUGCUGACCAGAGUUGAGGAACAGAAGAAGAUGGUGAAGGCCUGCAGGUAUAGGUGUUCAGCAUGUCAUCUGAAAUAUUCCCCACAGAGGCAAAAAGAAAGGAAAUUAUCUCUGAAAAGGAAUGGGAGGACAAGUCAGCAGAAUAUGUCAAUGUUUUGGUUGAAGAAGCUGCUUGAAUCUGGGCUUUUCUGUGCCAUGUGUUCUCCCAGGGCCAGCACAAAGAAGGGCUUUUGGUGCAGGCCCAAGACCACCAUAAUCAUCAUUGAUUAUUCCUCUCCACGCCAGUGUCUCUAAAUAAACUUUCUCUUCUUUCUCUGACAAAGGUGUUUUUGAGUGUUACUGUUUAGCUGAAGAGUGACGUUGAGUGACCUUAGUACCCUAGCCCUUCAUGUAAUCAGAUGGGUGUUGUAAGCAGAGGGAGAACCAUGUGAGUCAGGAGGAAAUAUGUAGUUUACCCUUUUUUUCCUGUUUGAAAGAUUUACUAUGAUGUUCAUGGUUGGGCUUUUGUUUGGGAUAAAUUGAGAUGCUUUCUGGAUAUGAUAAGGGCUUAUUUGGUUUGAUAGACCGUCUAAACAAGGCCAGUGCAGGCUGAGCCAGGUGAACCACCAGAUCACCAUCAGCUCACACUUCUCAUUCAUUUGUUAGCAGAAAUGAAGAUGCUUGUUUUCCUAGAAACAAGCCCAGGUCAUCCAUCAUGAAGUCCAGGAAUUGUAAAUGUGAGGAAGUGCAAAGACACAACGUACACUUACAAAGGCAUAUGUGCAUUUGGAAUUCUUUAAAGGACAACAUCCUCGAGCUUCUCCUGGGCCUCAGCCAAAACGGAGACACAAAAUGCAUCAUGCUAACAUUGUUGAGUUAAACUAGAAAAUCACAGGAAAAGAUUAAAAAAUGGAGAUCAAGAGAAAGAGGGAAAAACAAAGACCAGAAUAAACAUAAUUUCUAUUCAUCCCCUGGAUUAGUGAGCACAAGCCAUGCUUCUUGAUUCGAGCUCAGGUGAAGGGUGAAAUGCAGCCACAUCUAUAUUUUCCAAUGCCUUAUCUGUCUUCCUUUUUGGUCUCUUUGCUUGUUUUAUUUUAUAGGCUCAACGCACCUUCAUAUCUAUUAUCAACAAUAAAUGGGCCUGGUAUCAUUGGAAACGUGAAAAAUAGAACGUAAGAACUUUCAACCCCCCAAGUAAACCCUGGCUCCUCCAUUAUCUCUGAGGUUUCCCAUAAGAUCUCUUAAAAGUUUGUUGUUUUCC